ACAGCAGCCGCCGCGGUAAUACAGAGGGUGCGAGCGUUAAUCGGAUUUACUGGGCGUAAAGCGUGCGUAGGCGGCUUCUUAAGUCGGAUGUGAAAUUCCUGAGCUUAACUUAGGAAUUGCAUUCGAUACUGGGAAGCUAGAGUAUGGGAGAGGAUGGUAGAAUUCCAGGUGUAGCGGUGAAAUGCGUAGAGAUCUGGAGGAAUACCGAUGGCGAAGGCAGCCAUCUGGCCUAAUACUGACGCUGAGGUACGAAAGCAUGGGGAGCAAACAGGAUUAGAUACCCCCGUAGUCCCUGUCUCUUAUAC
Molecule: ribosomal RNA, 305 nt
Filed under: uncultured bacterium
Lineage: Bacteria
Description: partial 16S ribosomal RNA
Rfam family: Bacterial small subunit ribosomal RNA
Source: RNAcentral